AGGUUAUAGAGGACAGGAGGUUUAAUAAUGGGUAGUUAUAGAGGACAGGAGGUUAUAGAGGACAGGAGGUUAUAGAGGACAGGGGGUUUAAUAAUGGGUAGUUAUAGAGGACAGGAGGUUUAGUAAUGGGCAGUUAUAGAGGACAGGAGGUUAUAGAGGACAGGAGGUUAUAGAGGACAGGAGGUUUAGUAAUGGGCAGUUAUGGGGGACAGGAGGUUUAGUAAUGGGCAGUUAUGGAGGACAGGAGGUUUAGUAAUGGGCAGUUAUGGGGGACAGGAGGUUAUAGAGGACAGGAGGUUAUAGAGGACAGGAGGUUUAGUAAUGGGCAGUUAUAGAGGACAGGAGGUUAUAGAGGACAGGAGGUUUAGUAAUGGGUAGUUAUGGAGGACAGGAGGUUUAGUAAUGGGUAGUUAUAGAGGACAGGAGGUUAUAGAGGACAGGAGGUUUAGUAAUGGGUAGUUAUGGAGGACAGGAGGUUUAGUAAUGGGUAGUUAUAGAGGACAGGAGGUUAUAGAGGACAGGAGGUUAUAGAGGACAGGAGGUUAUAGAGGACAGGAGGUUUAGUAAUGGGCAGUUAUAGAGGACAGGAGGUUAUAGAGGACAGGAGGUUUAAUAAUGGGCAGUUAUGGAGGACAGGAGGUUUAAUAAUGGGUAGUUAUAGAGGACAGGAGUUUUAAUAAUGGGUAGUUAUAGAGGACAGGAGGUUUAGUAAUGGGUAGUUAUAGAGGACAGGAGGUUAUAGAGGACAGGAGGUUUAGUAAUGGGCAGUUAUAGAGGAUAGGAGGUUAUAGAGGACAGGAGGUUAUAGAGGACAGGAGGUUUAGUAAUGGGCAGUUAUAGAGGACAGGAGGUUUAGUAAUGGGCAGUUAUGGAGGACAGGAGGUUAUAGAGGACAGGAGGUUUAGUAAUGGGCAGUUAUGGAGGACAGGUGGUUUAGUAAUGGGCAGUUAUGGAGGACAGGAGGUUUAGUAAUGGGCAGUUAUAGAGGACAGGAGGUUUAGUAAUGGGCAGUUAUAGAAGACAGGAGGUUUAGUAAUGGGUAGUUAUAGAGGACAGGAGGUUAUAGAGGACAGGAGGUUAUAGAGGACAGGAGGUUUAGUAAUGGGCAGUUAUGGAGGACAGGAGGUUUAAUAAUGGGCAGUUAUGGAGGACAGGAGGUUUAAUAAUGGGUAGUUAUAGAGGACAGGAGGUUUAAUAAUGGGCAGUUAUAGAGGACAGGAGGUUUAGUAAUGGGCAGUUAUAGAGGACAGGAGGUUUAGUAAUGGGCAGUAGUAUAUACAUCCCUGUGUCUCUGCCUAAACGUGCUGUGUAGGAGUAGAGCAGUUAUAGAGGACAGGAGGUUUAGUAAUGGGCAGUUAUAGAAGACAGGAGGUUUAGUAAUGGGCAGUAGUAUAUAUAUCCCUGUGUCUCUGCCUAAACGUGCUGUGUAGGAGUAGAGCAGUUAUAGAGGACAGGAGGUUUAGUAAUGGGCAGUUAUAGAGGACAGGAGGUUUAGUAAUGGGCAGUUAUAGAGGACAGGAGGUUUAGUAAUGGGCAGUUAUAGAGGACAGGAGGUUUAGUAAUGGGCAGUAGUAUAUAUAUCCCUGUGUCUCUGCCUAAACGUGCUGUGUAGGAGUAGAGCAGUUAUAGAGGACAGGAGGUUAUAGAGGACAAGAGGUUUAGUAAUGGGCAGUUAUGGAGGACAGGAGGUUUAGUAAUGGGCAGUUAUGGAGGACAGGAGGUUAUAGAGGACAGGAGGUUUAGUAAUGGGCAGUAGUAUAUAUAUCCCUGUGUUUCUGCCUAAACGUGCUGUGUAGGAGUAGAGCAGGGCUGCGAUGUACUCCUUUUUCUUUAUUUUAGGUAUGAUAGCGUUUAAUGUCUUUAACUACCAAUAUCUAUAUAUCAAGCUAUAGAAAUAUAGAUCUGUGUCAAAUGUUCAUUUACAGGAUGUCCUGUGAAACCAUGUGGUCAGUAUUGUAAACCAGCAGAGAGAGAGAGAGAGAGAGAGCAGAUCUAUGUGUUUUAAUCGUAGACAUACAAUCUCUAAAACGGGACCUAGAACCUCUAAAACCCGUGUGACAAUUUGACUGGUAGACUCCACGAUUUUACACUCCCGUAAUGACUGCCAGUACACCCCAUUAUGACAUCGUUGACUGGAAUGGGGAGGUGUGUUCUAUAGAUUCUAUGUUCUACGGUUGUAUUUCUAGGCUGCUGCUGCUGCUGAUGAUGAUCUUUGUGUCUCUCUGGACUGAUGGAAGGAGAACCUUCCUGCAUGAUCCGUUACUAUGAUUUAAACAAACUGUAGAAUAAUGAUUUCUUAGCAGUUAAACAGAGAGUUGGUCCAGUGUGUGUGCUUUUCUAUAAUAUAUCUCUAGUAUAGUAUGCAAUACAACUGCUUCUACAUGUGCCACAGUAUUUUACAGAAAAAUAUAUAUUCAAUAAAAUCUUAAAGAUUA
This is a non-coding RNA of Oncorhynchus mykiss (rainbow trout), 2435 nucleotides long. The record is from RefSeq and is a predicted model, not a curated record. Lineage: Eukaryota; Metazoa; Chordata; Actinopteri; Salmoniformes; Salmonidae.